RNAcentral lists this ribosomal RNA (584 nucleotides) under Bacillus sp. 14071. RNAcentral describes it as "bacterial SSU rRNA". It matches the Rfam family "Bacterial small subunit ribosomal RNA", at positions 60 to 625 of the family's 1533-position model. Lineage: Bacteria; Bacillati; Bacillota; Bacilli; Caryophanales; Bacillaceae. The record is from RNAcentral.
AGUCGAGCGGACAGAUGGGAGCUUGCUCCCUGAUGUUAGCGGCGGACGGGUGAGUAACACGUGGGUAACCUGCCUGUAAGACUGGGAUAACUCCGGGAAACCGGGGCUAAUACCGGAUGCUUGAUUGAACCGCAUGGUUCAAUUAUAAAAGGUGGCUUUUACCUACCACUUACAGAUGGACCCGCGGCGCAUUACCUAGUUGGUGAGGUAACGGCUCACCAAGGCAACGAUGCGUAGCCGACCUGAAAGGGUGAUCGGCCACACUGGGACUGAAACACGGCCCAAACUCCUACGGGAGGCAGCAGUAGGGAAUCUUCCGCAAUGGACAAAAGUCUGACGGAGCAACGCCGCGUGAGUGAUGAAGGUUUUCGGAUCGUAAAACUCUGUUGUUAGGGAAAAACAAGUACCGUUCGAAUAGGGCGGUACCUUGACGGUACCUAACCAGAAAGCCACGGCUAACUACGUGCCACCACCCGCGGUAAUACGUAGGUGGCAAGCGUUGUCCGGAAUUAUUGGGCGUAAAGCGCGCGCAGGCGGUUUCUUAAGUCUGAUGUGAAAGCCCCCGGCUCACCCGGGGAGGGUCA